RNAcentral lists this long non-coding RNA (2377 nucleotides) under Setaria italica (foxtail millet). Its description in RNAcentral is "long non-coding RNA (SITA_LNC006826)". Lineage: Eukaryota; Viridiplantae; Streptophyta; Magnoliopsida; Poales; Poaceae. The record is from RNAcentral.
AGGUUAGUUCUUCGGAAAACUUGUUUAUUGAAAGAGGCACUCCACACUUCGCGAACGCUGUCCAUCUCCACCUGAAUUCCAUGAAUUCCCACUCCAGGAGUUGUGACGUCUACGAUUCAGUAUAUGCAAGAGUUAGAGAUGCAAACUUUUGAAUACAAGACUAUACAACUUUCCUUCAUGAUAAAGUUGCAAGCCAACAAGGACUAGACAAUUUAUCAUGAUAAAGUUGCAAGCCAACACACAAAAACCCGAAAAGAUUAGCCCACCAUUUUUAUUUCCUUUACUAAAUCUACCUUAGACCUCUUCUUUUAUUUUUAAAAGCAUUAUAAUAAUUUUCUACUCUCAAAAACUUAAUUCCUAUGAAUUAAUAAUAAUUUGUGGAUAAUAAAACAUUUUUCAAGUUUUAUACAUUUAAUAAAGUUUAAGCAUUUAUUUAAAUACCUUAGAUAAAAAGGCAUUAAACAAAUACCUAAAUUUUUAUUAUUUUUCCUAGGGUUUAAGAAUUUUAAUGCAUAAAGGAAAAUAAAACAAUCCUAAUAAAAUUGGUUUCACUAAUUUUGGGCACUUCUAGAAUUUCCUGGAAUUUAAAUGGUGCAAACCCUAUUUAAUCUAUUUAUCUAAUAAAAGAAAACCUAAAGUUUAAUAAAAACCCCCGGCCCAAACUUUCCUCACCUAACCUUCUUCUACCCACUAUCACUUCCACCUAGGGCCCAUCCGGUCUCUUAUUUUCUUCCUCUUUUCUUCACUAACACGUGGGGCCCACAGUCGGCACCCUUCCUCGGGCCAAAAGGUGGCCCGCUAACCUUUAACCUUCCACGUGUGGGCCUCCUUGCGCAGCUUCUUUUUGGGCCGGCUUCCCCCUUCUUUCUCCUCUUUCUUAACCGCGGGCGGCCCACCUUCUCGUUUCUUUUUCCCACGACCGGCCUGCUAAUCCGGCCCAUGGCCGUCCUUUUACUCACCGGCCCACCUUCUCUUUCUUUACUUCAACCUGGGCCGCACGGUCUACUUUCUUUUUAAAUCAACAGUCGGCCCACCGGUUUUUUUCUUCUUCAAAGGUCACCGGUCCAACCAAAGCUCGCGCACUAAUGGGCCUCCUUUACCGCGACUGGGCAACACGGCCCAAGUAACACGACCGGCCUGUCUUUCCCUCUUUUCUUCUUAUCACGCCGCGCGGCUAGCUGGGCCGAUUCCCUUCCUUGGCCCAAGACGGCGCUGGCCCUCUCUUCCUUUUCUGAUUAUGCCGCGCGGGCUUAGCUGGGCCGGCGCUUUUCCUGGCCCAUGACGGACGGCUGGCCUGCUUCCUUCUCCCCUUUCUCUUCACAACUCCCUGGCGCAUCUUCUUCCUUGCGCCACAACAGGGGCACACGCCGGCGGGCAAAACGGGACGGGGUCCCGGCCAACGGCGGCUUGCCGGCGGCCGAGAGGGACGGGGUGGCGGCGCCCCAGGCCAGGCGCGCCCGCGCCCACUUCCAGCUCGCCGGGAGGUGGCCCGAGCCGGCCCCUCCACGGGCGGCCGCGGCUUGGCCAUCGGCCGGCCAUGGCGGCGCACGGAGGCGGCACAAGCUGUUCCCCUGACUUCCCCAACAGCUCCCACAUCCUAGCAGGACGCCCCUAAGCCCGCUAAUUAAGAAGAACAUUCGGUUCAGGAGCUCACCUUGGGGAAUUAGGUGACGGCGGCCGGCGGACAGUAACGGCGGCGAUUCGAAGCUUGCCGGCAGGGAGACGAGCAACGGUUAGGCUUGGGCGUCGUGGUGGGGCUAGUGGAGCUACUUGCUGGCGGUGACGCGAAGGGCAACGGCGGCAUGGGUGUUGGCCGGCGCUGGCGCUAGCUUGCUCGAGCUCUGUUCGUCAUGGUGAAAUCCAACGGGAUAAACGGAUAGGCACAGAAGCUUGAUUUAUCCAAAUUGUUACCGUUUGCAUGCCAUCCACCUCGACUUGUGGCAGAUGCAUGUAGAUGCAACCGUGGAUUAACUUGUUGCGCUGGCCGAUGCUUCGAGAUGCCAGUGACGAUAUGGCUCUGCCUGUCGCCUCUGUUCUUAUCUCUUCCUUUCAAAACAAUCUGUUCAUCCCUCCCUUGCUCAAGAUAUUCCAUCUCAACUCGUAGAACUCCCUUAAGCAAUCUUGUAGAUUAAUCCGAGCACUACAUUUGAUAGAUUGGCCUCCAACCGAAUUAAGCACCCUAAGGUCGAGAUUUUUGGAGCUCCAAGUUUCUGUCAACUUGUACUGAACUUCAACGAUUCAGUUCGACAGUUCACAAAAUGUGGUCAUUUACCCUUCUUUGGCACCAAUUUCAGUAGCCCAACUGUAUUCCCUAUAGGCCAACCACUCCCUAUUUGUGUUCUACAACUAAUAAGGAUUCCAUUUUGCACCAGAAACC